GACUGGGAAAGAGCCAGAGAGACUUGUGGGACUAAGAGCACUUAGCUUGAGGCACUUAGCUUGAGGAGCCUGAGACUGGAUGAGUGGGAAAGGCAGGAAGAUGAAUCUGAUAAGAAGUGCAUGCAAAAGUGUCAGUGUGGGAGGUCUGAAACUAGCAGUGAAAAAAAAAAAAGAGAGAGAGAUGUGAAUCAGGGCUGCGUCUGGGUGAAGCAACUGACAAGGUGGCUGGGAACCAGAGCAUUGAGAACAGAGACUGCAGGGAAACAGAAAGAAAGGGAGAUGCUUUGGGAAAAUGGAAGGACAGUAAAGUGACUACAAUCAGCAUCUCUGCAAACCCAGUGAGAAUGACUAUGGUUAGACAAGAAGGCUGGAAUGAGAAGUUUGAGGGUGGGAGGCAGACUGGGUCAGCAUGGAACAUCAGAAGGAAAGAGCACAAUUUUCUUGAAAUAUAAGCAAAAGAAAAAGUGAGGAUGGAGCAAGACCUCACAGGGACACCCAGUUCAACUCCCUUCCAAAGGCAGAAUCAACUAUACUGGCUCCUCUACAGCACGAUGUAUAUUUGCUGGUUUUUCUCCUUCCCAUGGCCCCACACCGAGAAGCUAAAUUAGGAUGCACAUUUCCAAUACAGACCUAAACAAAGAACAAGAGAGACAGUGCUCUUUGCUCCUGGAACAGCAGCAGGGGACGCCUGCACCAAGCAGGUAUGAGAACAACAGCAUCUUCAGACAUCUCAUCUUGCACAAGGAAUGUCCCAGGAAGGGGCCCGCAGCCGUGCAGACACAACGAACCCAGAGCCACAGAACGUGGAGGAUCAUCUCCAAAUGAAAAUGGAUACUCUACACCUAAACAAACAUUUUCUCAGGCUCUUGGAAAAAUACAACAGGGAAAAAAAGAUUACAAAAAAUGUACCUGACAUUCUUUUAGCUAUAUUGACAUAGCUCACGCCAUCCAAAUGCUUUGGAGAAAAUCCAACCACCUCUUAUUUCAGUGGCUAAGCACUGAACAAUGGCAACAACUCCCUUGUUGCCUCAGUACACUGUUUUCAAAGAAAACAGGAAUGUUAUUGCUCUGGUUUACUCGAAAGAAGAGAUUUACUCUGCCCCAGAAAGUAAAUAAGGAGUCUAUCUACAAGUGCAUAUGUUUGUUUUGCAAAUACAGAGCACUCUGGCUUACCUCCUGUAAAUCAGCUACACUUGCAUUUUAAUAGGCACUUAUGUGCAUCGCAGGACCAAGACCAGAGCGCUCAGUACCUCGCGGUAUCAGCUCAGAGAGCCAGCACCUUUUCGAGGAAUACUUGACAGCUUUUUCUUCUACUGAAUUUCAGGCAACACCAGCACUGACUUCUCCAAAGCACUUGGGCAACUAGUCACUAUCAGUUCUGACAGCAACAGAGAGAAAUGUUUUUUGAAAAAGUAAGAAGCAAAUGGGGCUCUACUGCUGCUAAAUCCACAUAAGGGAGGGCAGGAAACUGUCCCUGAAAAUAAAACGCAUGUUAUUGCUCUCAUGGACACGUCAGUGUGUAAAAUAUCAGAGCUCAUACAUGGAUGUUUAAGGAGUGAGGGUAACAGUUCUUAUACAAUUCUAAAAUGUAAAAUAAGGUUUCUGAAGUGUGAGACAUUAACACUAAUUAAGAAUUAUAAUCAUAUUUGUAAACAAAGAUUAAACAACACCGUGGCAGUAUCUGGUGCAGAGUACAUACAUAUAUGAAUGCAGGGAGACAGACAAAAAUGUGUUACAUCCAAUGGAAUGAAUCUCUUGUAACUCCCCAUCCAUCACACACAGCUGAGCCUCAGCUUUAGAGGAACACAUCCAUGGUCACAGGAAUUCACAUCCCAGCCUUUUACCAAAGAGCUCUAUUCCCAAAUGCUCCAAGUAGAAAUAGAAAGCCUAAGCUAGCACGUGUCUGCAGUUCAAGGGAAGCUCAUGGCUAUGCUCACAGUCUUGAGGGUGUCUGAGCUUUGUUUGGGGAUUUGUGAUGGAUUCACCAGUAAAUUCUGUCCCAGUAACAAACAAAAACUAAUAUACCAAAGAGGUAUGUAGGUUUUAAAUAUACACACACACAGACACACAGGUAAGGCAUUUAAAAAAAAAUAGAGAUGUGCUGUAUUUGAG
RNAcentral lists this long non-coding RNA (2112 nucleotides) under Gallus gallus (chicken). The record is from RNAcentral. Lineage: Eukaryota; Metazoa; Chordata; Aves; Galliformes; Phasianidae.